CGGGUGAGUAACACGUGGAUAACCUACCUAUAAGACUGGGAUAACUUCGGGAAACCGGAGCUAAUACCGGAUAAUAUAUUGAACCGCAUGGUUCAAUAGUGAAAGACGGUUUUGCUGUCACUUAUAGAUGGAUCCGCGCCGCAUUAGCUAGUUGGUAAGGUAACGGCUUACCAAGGCAGCGAUGCGUAGCCGACCUGAGAGGGUGAUCGGCCACACUGGAACUGAGACACGGUCCAGACUCCUACGGGAGGCAGCAGCC
This 259-nucleotide ribosomal RNA is filed under the name uncultured Staphylococcus sp. Its description in RNAcentral is "partial 16S ribosomal RNA". It matches the Rfam family "Bacterial small subunit ribosomal RNA", at positions 103 to 355 of the family's 1533-position model. The record is from RNAcentral. Lineage: Bacteria; Bacillati; Bacillota; Bacilli; Caryophanales; Staphylococcaceae.